RNAcentral lists this ribosomal RNA (233 nucleotides) under uncultured bacterium. RNAcentral's name for it is "partial 16S ribosomal RNA". It matches the Rfam family "Bacterial small subunit ribosomal RNA", at positions 794 to 1023 of the family's 1533-position model. The record is from RNAcentral.
UCCACGCCGUAAACGAUGAUCACUAGAUGUGGGUCUUGUUUUGCAAGAUCCGUGUCGAAGCUAACGCGUUAAGUGAUCCGCCUGGGGAGUACGGUCGCAAGAUUAAAACUCAAAGGAAUUGACGGGGGUCCGCACAAGCGGUGGAACAUGUGGUUUAAUUCGACACUACGCGAGGAACCUUACCUGGGUUUGACAUGUAUACGCCUGUCAUGGAAACAUGAUUUUCCAAGUUU